AUUGUGAUUUCUUCAAUAAUAUGUUUUUAAUUUUUAGUUUCUAUUUUUUUUAAUGAAAUGAGAAUUGAAUUAUUUGUAGAAAAUAUUGACUUUCAUGCGUAUUAAUCAGUACAUGUUUUCAAUUGCAGACAUGUGUUCUUAUAGUCCGUAUACAUUGUGAAGGUUGUAAGGAUAGGUCAGGAAGAAGGUGCAGAAGGUUCAAGAAGGAAAAUGUUUGUCUGGCAAACUCUAUAUCUGAAAUGCAUAAAUUUGGAGCAAUCUAUAAUAUCAAAUGGUUCUCAUACUUUGGCACAUGAAUCCAAUGAUUUGGGUAAAAAAGAUAAAAAGAAGAAAGGA
Molecule: long non-coding RNA, 336 nt
Organism: Zingiber officinale
Lineage: Eukaryota; Viridiplantae; Streptophyta; Magnoliopsida; Zingiberales; Zingiberaceae
Exons: 2
Source: RefSeq, a predicted model, not a curated record